Zonotrichia albicollis (white-throated sparrow) is the source of this 527-nucleotide non-coding RNA. The record is from RefSeq and is a predicted model, not a curated record. Lineage: Eukaryota; Metazoa; Chordata; Aves; Passeriformes; Passerellidae.
AGGGGUGGCGGGAUGGAGGGAGGGCGGCCGAGGGAAAGUCUGACACUCGGCGCAGAAGGAGCGAGACCCUCCGCUGCCGCCGCCGCCGGGGAGGAGCCGCCGCGCUCGCAACGCCUCCGACACCCGGCCCCGGCCCCGGCCCCGCCGCGCUCCGGCCGCUCUCCGGCCCCGGCAGAUAAAACUUGGAUUGUUUGAAAAGUGGAGAGAUAUUUCACCGUGGUGAAAAAGAAGAUACAGAAGAGGAGAGCAGAAUGAGAGCUUUGCAAGUGCCUCAUGCCUGCAGCUUGCUGUCUUUAGUGAUGCUGUUCCUUCCAGUCACUGGAACGUCAAAACAAAAUAUCCCAAGACUGAAGCUUUCCUAUAAAGAAUUGCACUCAGGAUGGUGUGAUGGGGCAGGCUGUAAAGCCUUCAUCAGGGCUUAUGAUACGUUUAUCAUGAGUUAACACCCAGAGGAAUUUAUUGAGUAAGCAGAAUGACAUGCUAUUUAUUUACAAGCUUCUCUUUUGCUAGAUUUGCAUGCCACUGUG